GGCGUAGGCGGCCUGUCAAGUCGGGAUGUGAAAUCUCCCGGCUCAACCGGGAGGGUGCGUUGGAAACUGAUGGGCUAGAGUGCAGUAGAGGAAAAGCGGAAUUCUCGGUGUAGUGGUGAAAUGCGUAGAUAUCGAGAAGAACACUAGUGGCGAAGGCGGCUUUCUGGGCUGUAACUGACGCUGAGGCCCGAAGGCGUGGGUAGCAACA
This 208-nucleotide ribosomal RNA is filed under the name uncultured bacterium. RNAcentral's name for it is "partial 16S ribosomal RNA". It matches the Rfam family "Bacterial small subunit ribosomal RNA", at positions 568 to 773 of the family's 1533-position model. The record is from RNAcentral.